AGUGAACGCUGGCGGUAGGCCUAACACAUGCAAGUCGAACGGGAGCACAGUAAGAGCUUGCUCGAACGGGUGGCGAGUGGCGGACGGGUGAGGAAUACAGCGGAAUCUACUUUUUCGUGGGGGAUAACGUAGGGAAACGUACGCUAAUACCGCAUACGACCUACGGGUGAAAGCAGGGGAUCUUCGGAACUUGCGCGAUUGAGUGAGCCGAUGUCGGAUUAGCGAGUUGGCGGGGUAAAGGCCCACCAAGGCGACGAUCCGUAGCUGGUCUGAGAGGAUGAUCAGCCACACUGGAACUGAGACACGGUCCAGACUCCUACGGGAGGCAGCAGUGGGGAAUAUUGGACAAUGGGCGUAAGCCUGAUCCAGCCAUACCGCGUGGGUGAAGAAGGCCUUCGGGUUUUAAAGCCCUUUUGUUGGGAAAGAAAAGCAGCAGGUUAAUACCCCGCUGUUCUGACGGUACCCAAAGAAUAAGCACCGGCUAACUUCGUG
This 492-nucleotide ribosomal RNA is filed under the name uncultured bacterium. Its description in RNAcentral is "partial 16S ribosomal RNA". It matches the Rfam family "Bacterial small subunit ribosomal RNA", at positions 29 to 507 of the family's 1533-position model. The record is from RNAcentral.